RNAcentral lists this long non-coding RNA (279 nucleotides) under Theobroma cacao (cacao). RNAcentral describes it as "long non-coding RNA (TCAC_LNC003106)". The record is from RNAcentral. Lineage: Eukaryota; Viridiplantae; Streptophyta; Magnoliopsida; Malvales; Malvaceae.
AUAUAUAUAAGCACAUACACCUCCAUCACAUCACCCAGCUCAUAUGCAUCAUUAUCAGCAUGUGCACUGCCCACUCCGCCCAUGCACGAUAGUAAUUAUCGCAACAUCGUCAUUCAACCAGCAUGUGCACUGCCCACUCCGCACAUGCACAGUUGUAACUAUUGAAACCUCAUCAUUCAACCGGCAUGUGCACUGCCCACUCCGCACAUGCACUGUUACAUCCAUUGUACAAAAUUACUUUGCUUAACAAUACACAUCAUAUAUCUUUACAUACAUAUU